GACGAACGCUGGCGGCGUGCUUAACACAUGCAAGUCGAACGGACCUGCCCUGCUUUUGUGGGGUGCUCGGGUGGAGAACGGGGGAGUAACACUUGUGUAACCUACACUUGCGUUUGGGAGAACUUCAUAAAACUGGGGCUAAUACCGGAUAGGAGCUACUGCUGCAUGGUGGGGGUGGGAAGGUUUAGGCGGUUGGGGAGGGACUCGCGGCUUAUCAGCUUGAUGGGGGGGUAGUGUCUUACCAUGACUUGGAAGGGUAGCCGGGCUGAGAGGGGGACCGGCCACAUUGGGAUUGAGAUGCGGCACAGACUACUACGGGAGGCAGCAGUGGGGAAGAUUGCACAAGGGGAGGAAGCCUGAUGUAGCAAAGCCGCGUGGGGGAUGAGGGCCAGCGGGUAGGGUUGCGAAGCCGCCUGUGACGAAGCGUGAGUGACGGUAAUGGGUAAAGAAGCACCGGCUAACUACGUG
This 468-nucleotide ribosomal RNA is filed under the name uncultured bacterium. RNAcentral's name for it is "partial 16S ribosomal RNA". It matches the Rfam family "Bacterial small subunit ribosomal RNA", at positions 28 to 507 of the family's 1533-position model. The record is from RNAcentral.